This 656-nucleotide long non-coding RNA is filed under the name Scleropages formosus (Asian bonytongue). Its description in RNAcentral is "lncRNA (ENSSFOG00015031301.1)". Lineage: Eukaryota; Metazoa; Chordata; Actinopteri; Osteoglossiformes; Osteoglossidae. The record is from RNAcentral.
UAGCCCGGAUGUACCUAUAUCACGCUAGAACCUCGGCGACAGCGUGUGCUGCGGUCGCAUGAGGAGGUGCAUGGAGUAAUUUUGGCCGGAGGACAUGGACCGGCGUCGCCGCUGUUUUAUAUUCGCCGGAAUCCUUACCUGUGCCUCACUCUGCUGUGGCGGACCAGUGGAUUGUGUGGCGCACCAGCAUCCUAAUGGCUCAGUGACUUAUGUCUUACCUAAGCCUCUGUGCCCGGGGCAGUGGUCCUUCAACAACACUGUCAUCGCUUUUAAUGAAGACAAUGGAACAGAAUACAAUAAAACUCUAGUUUCUGCUCUAGCUGAGGCUUUCAUCACUCUGAAGAGCUGCAAGCACACCUUGACCUUCAGAAAAGUGUGCACGGCGGAGCCUCAAAUAAUACACUGUUCACGUGAGUAUGAUUCAUAUUCUUUUGUUUACUAUUUAGCAGAGAUAAAAAAAAAAACCUUGUAAAACCUUGUGAAGCAUUAAGUGCAAUCAGUUCAUUUUGAAAUAGUUCUUCAGUUUAGUCUUAAAUACAAUUUAAAACAUUUUAGAAAUUGUAAAGAAAAUCAAUAUAUGGUAGCUACAUCCAGCUUAAGCCAAAUGUACUGUUAGGAGAAGAGUAAUAAAUGCCUACUUUUGCAUUGUGGUUCCA